This 27-nucleotide non-coding RNA is filed under the name Bombyx mori (domestic silkworm). The record is from RNAcentral. Lineage: Eukaryota; Metazoa; Arthropoda; Insecta; Lepidoptera; Bombycidae.
UAAGGUAUAUUUAUGGUCUAUCGUGGA